This 467-nucleotide ribosomal RNA is filed under the name uncultured bacterium. Its description in RNAcentral is "bacterial SSU rRNA". It matches the Rfam family "Bacterial small subunit ribosomal RNA", at positions 330 to 794 of the family's 1533-position model. The record is from RNAcentral.
GCCAGACUCCUACGGGAGGCAGCAGUGAGGAAUAUUGGUCAAUGGCCGAGAGGCUGAACCAGCCAAGUCGCGUGAGGGAAGACGGCCCUACGGGUUGUAAACCUCUUUUGUCGGGGAGCAAAGCGAGUCACGUGUGGCUCAUUGAGAGUACCCGAAGAAAAAGCAUCGGCUAACUCCGUGCCAGCAGCCGCGGUAAUACGGAGGAUGCGAGCGUUAUCCGGAUUUAUUGGGUUUAAAGGGUGCGCAGGCGGAGGUGCAAGUCAGCGGUCAAAUUGCGGGGCUCAACCCCGUACUGCCGUUGAAACUGCACCCCUUGAGUGCGCGAGAAGUAUGCGGAAUGCGUGGUGUAGCGGUGAAAUGCAUAGAUAUCACGCAGAACUCCGAUUGCGAAGGCAGCAUACCGGCGCGCAACUGACGCUCAUGCACGAAAGCGUGGGUAUCGAACAGGAUUAGAUACCCGCGUACGU